This 253-nucleotide ribosomal RNA is filed under the name uncultured bacterium. Its description in RNAcentral is "partial 16S ribosomal RNA". It matches the Rfam family "Bacterial small subunit ribosomal RNA", at positions 524 to 776 of the family's 1533-position model. The record is from RNAcentral.
UACGAAGGGUGCGAGCGUUAUUCGGAAUUACUGGGCGUAAAGGGUGCGUAGACGGCAUGUUAAGUCCGCUGUUAAAUAUUCCGGCCUAACCGGAAAAAUGCGGUAGAAACUGGCGUGCUAGAGGGUGGAAGAGAGAAGUGGAAUUCCCGGAGUAGCGGUAAAAUGCGUAGAGCUCGGGAGGAACACCAAUGGCGAAGGCAGCUUCUUGGUCCAUACCUGACGUUGAGGCACGAAAGAGUGGGGAGCAAACAGG